Molecule: ribosomal RNA, 371 nt
Filed under: uncultured bacterium
Lineage: Bacteria
Description: bacterial SSU rRNA
Rfam family: Bacterial small subunit ribosomal RNA
Source: RNAcentral
GAAGGGUGCAAGCGUUACUCGGAAUUACUGGGCGUAAAGCGUGCGUAGGUGGUUGUUUAAGUCUGCUGUGAAAGCCCUGGGCUCAACCUGGGAAUUGCAGUGGAUACUGGGCGACUAGAGUGUGGUAGAGGAUAGUGGAAUUUCCGGUGUAGCAGUGAAAUGCGUAGAGAUCGGAAGGAACAUCUGUGGCGAAGGCGACACCCUGGACCAGCACUGACACUGAGGCACGAAAGCGUGGGGAGCAAACAGGAUUAGAUACCCUGGUAGUCCACGCCCUAAACGAUGCGAACUGGAUGUUGGGAGCAACUAGGCUCUCAGUAUCGAAGCUAACGCGUUAAGUUCGCCGCCUGGGAAGUACGGUCGCAAGACUG